Molecule: transfer RNA, 87 nt
Filed under: bacterium
Lineage: Bacteria
Description: tRNA-Leu
Rfam family: tRNA
About the family: Transfer RNA (tRNA) molecules are approximately 80 nucleotides in length. Their secondary structure includes four short double-helical elements and three loops (D, anti-codon, and T loops).
Source: RNAcentral
GCCGCGGUGGUGAAAUUGGCAUACACGUACGCUUCAGGUGCGUAUGACCGCAAGGUCGUGAGGGUUCAAGUCCCUCCCGCGGCACCA